GCCUGAGUGGCUCAGUUGGCUGAGCCUCUGACUUUGACUCAGGUCAUGAUCUCAUGGUUAAUGAGUUCGAGUCCCAUGUCGGGCU
This 85-nucleotide transfer RNA is filed under the name Felis catus (domestic cat). It matches the Rfam family "tRNA". From Rfam's summary of the family: Transfer RNA (tRNA) molecules are approximately 80 nucleotides in length. Their secondary structure includes four short double-helical elements and three loops (D, anti-codon, and T loops). Lineage: Eukaryota; Metazoa; Chordata; Mammalia; Carnivora; Felidae. The record is from Rfam by way of RNAcentral.